CAGGCAUUGUUUUUUCGUAUCGUAGGCAGGGCUCGAAGUUCCUUAGGAGAGAGAGACUCAGAAAUGGCAACACAAGCACUUGUAUCUUCUCUUACCUCUUCAGUGGAGACUGCCAGACAAAUACUACGAGCAAAACCAACCCAGUCUUCUUUUGGGUCCUCAAGGAAGAGCUCCUUUGUUGUUAGGGCAUCUUCUACUCCUCCUGUUAAGCAAGGAGCAGAUAGACAACUAUGGUUUGCUUCCAGGCAAAGUCUUUCUUACUUGGAUGGCAGUCUUCCAGGUGACUAUGGAUUUGAUCCGCUUGGUCUUUCAGACCCUGAAGGUACAGGAGGAUUCAUUGAGCCAAAAUGGUUAGCCUACGGUGAGGUCAUCAAUGGAAGAUAUGCCAUGUUGGGGGCAGUAGGUGCCAUUGCACCAGAAAUUCUUGGCAAGGCUGGUCUCAUCCCCCAAGAAACAGCCCUCCCUUGGUUCAAAACUGGUGUGAUCCCACCUGCCGGUACAUACGACUACUGGGCAGACCCAUACACACUGUUUGUGCUGGAAAUGGCACUCAUGGGAUUUGCAGAGCACAGGAGAUUCCAAGAUUGGGCAAACCCAGGCUCCAUGGGCAAGCAGUAUUUCUUGGGGUUGGAGAAGUAUUUGGGAGGGUCUGGAGACCCAAUCUACCCGGGAGGACCCCUGUUCAACCCUCUUGGGUUAGGUAAAGAUGAGAAAUCAAUGAAAGAUUUGAAGCUCAAGGAGGUGAAGAAUGGGAGGUUGGCUAUGCUGGCAAUUGUGGGUUACUUCAUACAAGCUCUUGUGACUGGAGUUGGACCAUACCAAAACCUCCUGGAUCACUUGGCUGAUCCUGUCAACAACAAUAUCUUGACAAGCCUCAAGUUCCAUUAGAGCCAAUUCUUGUCUAUUUGUGGAUUGGACCUGCCCUAGCUGCUUCUUCCCUUUGGCCUUUCUUUUCUCCUACUCAUUGUAACAAUCGUGUGAAAAAGCCCUACUGUAAUUUUCUGUGAUAAGGGACAUGUUAAGAUCAAGAAAGACCUCUUAAUGUUAUUGUCUAGUUUUUUUUAGAGAUAAUCAGGCAUCUUUAUGACCCUAACAAAUUGCAAAGGGGUAAUAUAAUGGCAAAAACAACAACAAUGAAGCUGAUAUAAAUGGGGAAAAAACUUUAAGAGAAAAUGGCACAUGAUGGUCAUCCACAAUUUGCACUUUCAAUUCUUAGUCAUACAGAACUCAGUGCACCAACUCCAAACAUGUUACUGGAGAUGAUUAUCAAUUAUUAAUUUGCUUCUGAAACGUUUGAAAUUGUCGACCCCAAAAAUCAACACUGGCUCUACCCAAUCAAAAUGUUUCUAGAAUAGAGAAUACAAGCAUGGAGGCGAGUGUUAUUGCGCCACUUCCUUUCUUCCACCAUAGUAUGAUAUAAUUGCAAUACCAUAUCCUACUGCUCUUCUCAUCCAUCUGAUUCAGGAAAUUAUCAUGCCUACUAGAAUAGAAAAAGAAUUUCAUAGUCCCAGAAGGAUAUCAAAGCUCAGACUCUAAUAUUUGGGCAUUCUGGUAGUAAGUAACUACAAUUUUUGAUUGCAGGAAGACUAUCAUCAAAUGAUGAAAACCCAAAAUAUGCCCAUCAACCUCAAACUCAAAGUGAUAUUGUCAAGACCAAUGUCUACCCAAAUGAGCUGAAACGGUUUAAGGAACACAAUCCCCUCAAAUUAAGCAGACUGAGCGACAGGUUCAUCUGCACCCGAUGCCUCUAGCCUGCAAACCACAUUAGUCAGUAAUAAUAUAAAAGGAGCCCAUCUCAGGAAAAGUAAGGUAUAGCAGGGAAAUAUUUCAAAACAGCAAUCAAACAGAAAGGAAAAAUACACAAAGCACUAAUGCAUAAUACACAUUGAUAAUAGCAGUAUUACAGACAUCACAUCCUAUAUCAUGUUACAGCGUCAUAAAAAUACAUAGAAUUCCAUCAGGCUAGCUGAAAUGUCUUCAAAGAUUUACAGCAGAAUGGGAAUUAAGUCCCACCAUCAGAGUUUUGUUUAAGGAACACAUCUAUCCAUUCGUGUGAAAUAGCUCAGAUAACAUGCAGUAGCAAAGGAAGAAUAAGGCAUAAAUGAUGGAAACAUUUGCUACCUAGUCUCUACCCUCAUCUUUCUUCAUGAGUACAAGAAGUGCAGUAUUCCCUACCUUUGAAUUCCUUCUCCAACUUCCAUUCUAAAGAAGUUCCCUAUCUUCACAGGUGAGCCCACUUCCUUGGACAGAUUGUUUAACAGUGUCUUUACGUUUACAGUAUCAUUGAUUAUGAACUUUUGCUCCAUUAGAACAACUUCCUCAUAGUAUUUACGCAAACGACCUUCUACCAUUUUCUCUAUUGCCAUCUGAGACUUCCCUGUGCUUUCCGCCUGAGACUUAAGAAUUUCACGUUCACUUUCCAAUGCACUAGAGGAGACAAGUUCUUUGGUCAAGAACAACGGCUUUGCUGCCACCACAUGCAUUGCCAGUUCCGAACCAACGCGCUGGAGAGCUUCCAACUGGGAAUUCCCAUCCUCUAUUUCAAGAGAUAAAAGUCCAGCAAUACGACCCAAACCCGGUUGAGGACUUGUAUGGAGAUAGAUGGACAGAACAGCAGUUGAAGAUGUAGACAUAACAAAGCUCCUUCUGAGUCUCACAUUCUCACCCAUCAUUGCAGCUAUUUCUGUAAUUGCAUUUUGAACAGUUGUUUCUCCACUUAUUUUGGGAUGUUCAAGAUUUAACUUCAAGUCCUCCAAACACUCGGGUCCAACAGCAUGGACGCCAGAAACCUGAUGAGAAACAUUCUCAAUCAACAAGGCUUGCUUAGCUAAAGAUAAAGCCAAGUACUGAAAGAUUUCAUUUCUAGCAACAAAGUCAGUCUCGCAAUUAAGCUCAACAAUUGCAGCCCUCCCCUCAUCCUGUGCCAAUGCAAGUAACCCCUCGGCAGCAGUUCGGCCCGACUUCUUCGAGGCCAAAACCUUCCCUCUCUUCCUCAAAUCCUUCUGCGCCUCCUCAAUGUCCCAAUUGCAAUCAAUGAGAGCAGCCUUGACAUCCUUGAUGGGAGCGCUAGUCCGCUCUCUCAACUGCUUAAUGAGAUUCAUCUGCUCUUGUGCCGCAGGAGCUUGAACGCUGAAUCGCCGGAAAAACAUUCCAAAAGCAGAUUCCGAUCUGGUUUUGAUCUCUGCAAGUUGAGAUAUGGGAGUGGACACUGCUUUGCGCGUCCAGGUAGAAUAAUUUUGCCCAGAGAAGCCAAUCCUGGUACUUAGCAUUAUUUGAAGUGGACGCUUUGCACUUCUAGACAAAGCCAUUUCUAUAUGAAUGUGUAUAAAAGCUAGUUGCUAGGGUUUAAGGGUUUUAGAAGAAAGUGGAGCUAGCAGCAAACCAUGCAUAUGAGAUAGAAACUACAAAACCUUCGAAGAAGUGACCUUUAAAAUAAACUUGUAUUGGGUUUGAAGGAGAGUAUGAGGAAGAGGAUGAGUGGUGAUGGUGGGCUUGGGUUAAUGUCGUUGCUGGCGUGGCGGGAGGGUGGCGGCGGCAGCUAUGGUGAGAGGAUGGCUUGGCGUUUGGGAAAGGGUGCUGGGAUCAGUAUUAAUCUUUG
RNAcentral lists this unclassified non-coding RNA (3598 nucleotides) under Hevea brasiliensis (rubber tree). Lineage: Eukaryota; Viridiplantae; Streptophyta; Magnoliopsida; Malpighiales; Euphorbiaceae. The record is from RNAcentral.